This 466-nucleotide ribosomal RNA is filed under the name uncultured bacterium. Its description in RNAcentral is "partial 16S ribosomal RNA". It matches the Rfam family "Bacterial small subunit ribosomal RNA", at positions 28 to 505 of the family's 1533-position model. The record is from RNAcentral.
GACGAACGCUGGCGGCGUGCUUAACACAUGCAAGUCGAACGGAAAGGCCCUGCUUUUGUGGGGGGCUCGAGUGGCGAACGGGUGAGUAACACGUGAGUAACCUGCCCUUGACUUUGGGAUAACUUCAGGAAACUGGGGCUAAUACCGGAUAGGAGCUCCUGCUGCAUGGUGGGGGUUGGAAAGUUUCGGCGGUUGGGGAUGGACUCGCGGCUUAUCAGCUUGUUGGUGGGGUAGUGGCUUACCAAGGCUUUGACGGGUAGCCGGCCUGAGAGGGUGACCGGCCACAUUGGGACUGAGAUACGGCCCAGACUCCUACGGGAGGCAGCAGUGGGGAAUAUUGCACAAUGGGCGGAAGCCUGAUGCAGCAACGCCGCGUGCGGGAUGACGGCCUUCGGGUUGUAAACCGCUUUCGCCUGUGACGAAGCGUGAGUGACGGUAAUGGGUAAAGAAGCACCGGCGAACUACG